GCAGUGAACAGCCGGCACGGGGGGUCCAGAGGGAAGUGAGAAGGCAGGAAGUGACAAUGCUCAUUUCUGAACCAGAAACACACCUGUCUGUGGGCAACUCUUGAGCAGCAGCUGGCUCUUAUUUUAUUUAUUAAUUCUUAAGUUUUUUUCUUCAAUUUUUAAAACCCUGAUUGAGAGAAGAGGAAGAGAAUUUUAGCAGGCAUCCAUUCCAAUGUGCCGUGGGGAUCCCAGCCCUAAAACCCCAGGAUGGACCCCAAGGCAUCUGGGGAAGGCUCAUUCUGUUUCCAGGCACUUCAGAGACCCUUUGGCAACUGCUCAUGUGGGGAAGGUGUAAAAGUUAAAAUCUUCCAGCCACGUUAGAGAAUGGAACAGGAAAAACUUCCUGGUUCUGGCGAGACCGAUGGGGCUUGAGGACUUCAGCUCAAGGACCUGAUUCUGCGUGGGUCUCACUGGGACAUGGCACAUCCUCUUCUGGGCUACCUCGAGCAUGUUGAUCCAUCUAAUUCUGCCUGAGGACAUGAAAACUGCUCCAGCUGCACCUGGGAGGGAAAAGGAGCCAAAAUCUUCCUCCAGCGGGAUUUUAGGAGCUGUUGAUCUCUCCCUGGUGAGCGGCAAGACGGAGCCUGAAUUUAUCUUUUUAUCUCUAAUGAAGAAUCACAGCUAGGGCACAGUGAGCAGGUACUGGAAAAAUCGUGGACUUCCAUGUACGAAUGGUUGGAGGAGCACUAAGAGGAAGCCCUGCAAUUUCCCGAUGAUCUGUCCUGCAAAGAACACGUCUAAAGCGGACUCCUCGGCCUCGUGGACAUUGUCAGUGCUUUCCAUAGCGCUGCCCGGGCUUGUCUGGGAAUGGGAACGGCUGGUGGGAGCUCUGGCAGAGCACCUGGAGACCAGG
Long non-coding RNA from Pyrgilauda ruficollis (rufous-necked snowfinch), 892 nucleotides. RefSeq lists it as uncharacterized. NCBI's taxonomy places the organism in Eukaryota, Metazoa, Chordata, Aves, Passeriformes, Passeridae. The transcript has 6 exons. The record is from RefSeq and is a predicted model, not a curated record.